GGAAUAUUGGGCAAUGGGCGCAAGCCUGACCCAGCAACGCCGCGUGAAGGAAGACGGUUUUCGGAUCGUAAACUUCUGUCCUUGGUGAAGAUAGUGACGGUAGCCAAGGAGGAAGCCCCGGCUAACUACGUGCCAGCAGCAGCGGUAAUACGUAGGGGGCGAGCGUUGUCCGGAAUGAUUGGGCGUAAAGGGCGCGUAGGCGGCCCGGUAAGUCUGGAGUGAAAGUCCUGCUUUUAAGGUGGGAAUUGCUUUGGAUACUGCUGGGCUUGAGUGCAGGAGAGGUUAUCGGAAUUCCCGGUGUAGCGGUGAAAUGCGUAGAGAUCGGGAGGAACACCAGUGGCGAAGGCGGGUAACUGGACUGCAACUGACGCUGAGGCGCGAAAGUGUGGGGAGCAAACA
This 399-nucleotide ribosomal RNA is filed under the name uncultured bacterium. RNAcentral's name for it is "bacterial SSU rRNA". It matches the Rfam family "Bacterial small subunit ribosomal RNA", at positions 358 to 774 of the family's 1533-position model. The record is from RNAcentral.